Molecule: non-coding RNA, 217 nt
Organism: Pelobates cultripes (western spadefoot toad)
Lineage: Eukaryota; Metazoa; Chordata; Amphibia; Anura; Pelobatidae
Source: the annotation of a GenBank genome assembly
GUGAAGAUUCCCACAUAUUUUUCUCACAUGCAUAAGUUGUCAAAGUAGGCCAUAUAAAGAUUUACCAAGUGACUAGUACCAUAUCUAAAUCAAAACAAUUUUUUUGUUUUUUUACGGUAUUGUCAUUCAUAUCAGCUGUAUGUAAUUUUCAUUCUCAACUCACCGGACAUCCUUUAUAAUCUGCCCUUAAAAAGCUCCAGACUAUGUUGAAAAGGUG